RNAcentral lists this ribosomal RNA (2900 nucleotides) under Klebsiella pneumoniae. RNAcentral describes it as "bacterial LSU rRNA". It matches the Rfam family "Bacterial large subunit ribosomal RNA". The record is from RNAcentral. Lineage: Bacteria; Pseudomonadati; Pseudomonadota; Gammaproteobacteria; Enterobacterales; Enterobacteriaceae.
UUAAGCGACUAAGCGUACACGGUGGAUGCCCUGGCAGUCAGAGGCGAUGAAGGACGUGCUAAUCUGCGAAAAGCGUCGGUAAGGUGAUAUGAACCGUUAUAACCGGCGAUGUCCGAAUGGGGAAACCCAGUGUGAUUCGUCACACUAUCGUUAACUGAAUACAUAGGUUAACGAGGCGAACCGGGGGAACUGAAACAUCUAAGUACCCCGAGGAAAAGAAAUCAACCGAGAUUCCCCCAGUAGCGGCGAGCGAACGGGGAGCAGCCCAGAGUCUGAAUCAGCUUGUGUGUUAGUGGAACGGUCUGGAAAGUCCGACGGUACAGGGUGAUAGUCCCGUACACCAAAAUGCACAGGUUGUGAACUCGAAGAGUAGGGCGGGACACGUGGUAUCCUGUCUGAAUAUGGGGGGACCAUCCUCCAAGGCUAAAUACUCCUGACUGACCGAUAGUGAACCAGUACCGUGAGGGAAAGGCGAAAAGAACCCCGGCGAGGGGAGUGAAAAAGAACCUGAAACCGUGUACGUACAAGCAGUGGGAGCACCUUCGGGUGUGACUGCGUACCUUUUGUAUAAUGGGUCAGCGACUUAUAUUCUGUAGCAAGGUUAACCGUAUAGGGGAGCCGCAGGGAAACCGAGUCUUAACUGGGCGUUAAGUUGCAGGGUAUAGACCCGAAACCCGGUGAUCUAGCCAUGGGCAGGUUGAAGGUUGGGUAACACUAACUGGAGGACCGAACCGACUAAUGUUGAAAAAUUAGCGGAUGACUUGUGGCUGGGGGUGAAAGGCCAAUCAAACCGGGAGAUAGCUGGUUCUCCCCGAAAGCUAUUUAGGUAGCGCCUCGUGAAUUCAUCUUCGGGGGUAGAGCACUGUUUCGGCUAGGGGGUCAUCCCGACUUACCAACCCGAUGCAAACUACGAAUACCGAAGAAUGUUAUCACGGGAGACACACGGCGGGUGCUAACGUCCGUCGUGAAGAGGGAAACAACCCAGACCGCCAGCUAAGGUCCCAAAGUCAUGGUUAAGUGGGAAACGAUGUGGGAAGGCACAGACAGCCAGGAUGUUGGCUUAGAAGCAGCCAUCAUUUAAAGAAAGCGUAAUAGCUCACUGGUCGAGUCGGCCUGCGCGGAAGAUGUAACGGGGCUAAACCAUGCACCGAAGCUGCGGCAGCGACACUAUGUGUUGUUGGGUAGGGGAGCGUUCUGUAAGCCUGCGAAGGUGUGCUGUGAGGCAUGCUGGAGGUAUCAGAAGUGCGAAUGCUGACAUAAGUAACGAUAAAGCGGGUGAAAAGCCCGCUCGCCGGAAGACCAAGGGUUCCUGUCCAACGUUAAUCGGGGCAGGGUGAGUCGACCCCUAAGGCGAGGCCGAAAGGCGUAGUCGAUGGGAAACAGGUUAAUAUUCCUGUACUUGGUGUUACUGCGAAGGGGGGACGGAGAAGGCUAUGUUAGCCGGGCGACGGUUGUCCCGGUUUAAGCAUGUAGGCUGGUUGUCCAGGCAAAUCCGGAUAAUCAAGGCUGAGGUGUGAUGACGAGGCACUACGGUGCUGAAGUAACAAAUGCCCUGCUUCCAGGAAAAGCCUCUAAGCAUCAGGUAACAUCAAAUCGUACCCCAAACCGACACAGGUGGUCAGGUAGAGAAUACCAAGGCGCUUGAGAGAACUCGGGUGAAGGAACUAGGCAAAAUGGUGCCGUAACUUCGGGAGAAGGCACGCUGGUGUGUAGGUGAAGUCCCUGCGGAUGGAGCUGAGACCAGUCGAAGAUACCAGCUGGCUGCAACUGUUUAUUAAAAACACAGCACUGUGCAAACACGAAAGUGGACGUAUACGGUGUGACGCCUGCCCGGUGCCGGAAGGUUAAUUGAUGGGGUUAUCCGUAAGGAGAAGCUCUUGAUCGAAGCCCCGGUAAACGGCGGCCGUAACUAUAACGGUCCUAAGGUAGCGAAAUUCCUUGUCGGGUAAGUUCCGACCUGCACGAAUGGCGUAAUGAUGGCCAGGCUGUCUCCACCCGAGACUCAGUGAAAUUGAACUCGCUGUGAAGAUGCAGUGUACCCGCGGCAAGACGGAAAGACCCCGUGAACCUUUACUAUAGCUUGACACUGAACAUUGAGCCUUGAUGUGUAGGAUAGGUGGGAGGCUUUGAAGCGUGGACGCCAGUCUGCGUGGAGCCAACCUUGAAAUACCACCCUUUAAUGUUUGAUGUUCUAACGUUGGCCCCUUACCGGGGUUGCGGACAGUGUCUGGUGGGUAGUUUGACUGGGGCGGUCUCCUCCCAAAGCGUAACGGAGGAGCACGAAGGUUAGCUAAUCCUGGUCGGACAUCAGGAGGUUAGUGCAAUGGCAUAAGCUAGCUUGACUGCGAGCGUGACGGCGCGAGCAGGUGCGAAAGCAGGUCAUAGUGAUCCGGUGGUUCUGAAUGGAAGGGCCAUCGCUCAACGGAUAAAAGGUACUCCGGGGAUAACAGGCUGAUACCGCCCAAGAGUUCAUAUCGACGGCGGUGUUUGGCACCUCGAUGUCGGCUCAUCACAUCCUGGGGCUGAAGUAGGUCCCAAGGGUAUGGCUGUUCGCCAUUUAAAGUGGUACGCGAGCUGGGUUUAGAACGUCGUGAGACAGUUCGGUCCCUAUCUGCCGUGGGCGCUGGAGAAUUGAGGGGGGCUGCUCCUAGUACGAGAGGACCGGAGUGGACGCAUCACUGGUGUUCGGGUUGUCAUGCCAAUGGCACUGCCCGGUAGCUAAAUGCGGAAGAGAUAAGUGCUGAAAGCAUCUAAGCACGAAACUUGCCCCGAGAUGAGUUCUCCCUGAGACUUUAAGUCUCCUGAAGGAACGUUGAAGACGACGACGUUGAUAGGCCGGGUGUGUAAGCGCAGCGAUGCGUUGAGCUAACCGGUACUAAUGAACCGUGAGGCUUAACCUU